Molecule: long non-coding RNA, 791 nt
Filed under: Gossypium barbadense (sea-island cotton)
Lineage: Eukaryota; Viridiplantae; Streptophyta; Magnoliopsida; Malvales; Malvaceae
Description: long non-coding RNA (GBAR_LNC019340)
Source: RNAcentral
GUACAGGCUAAUUUUGGGCUAAACCCAAAACCCAACUAACCUAGCCCAAUACCCUAAACUACCUGAGCCCAAAUUUUAAAACCCUAACAGCCCAUCUGCUUAAAAGAUUUCAGCAGCAAGCCCUAGCUCCCACCUUGUCAGCCGCCGCUUCCCACCAUCGGCCAACCAUUGGCUACCUUGCGCACUACCCCCUCGUCCACCGCGCCCACUACCUGCAACAGAGACAGAAACAACAGCAAAAGGAAGCAUGCGAGGAAUGGGGGCAAAGAAUAAACAAAACAGAAACAAAAAAAAGGAGAAAUGAAUGUUUAUGGAUCGGCUUUAAAAAGCCAAAAUGAAGGAUGAGAAAAGAGGGCCUUUUUUUUUCUUUUCUCUUUACCGAGCAGUGUAAAAUUCGAAAAAUCUCAAAAAAAAUUUCAACAACCAAUAUACGAAAGCUAAAACCUCAUAAGUAGCAUAGAUCAAACAUCAAAAAGGAGAUUUAAACGUCCUAAAAUCAGAAACGUUACUAGCAAAUAGGGAAAGAAGAAGAGAACAACGGCAAAGUCAAGGUUCCUAAUAUUUUUUCAUUUCUUUUUAUUUUCAGAUUUACAUUCACCUAUAUAUGCAUAUAUAAUAAAAUACACACAAAAAAAAAGAAAUUUUUACCUAAGGCGAUUUCCGGCCACCGUGUACGGUGGCCGGCGCGGUGGAGCUACGACGGCGUGCGGUGGCUCUCCUGGCCGGUUUCUAGGCAUCCCCAGAGAGAAAAAUCCCUUUCUCCCUUUUUUUUUCCUAAGACUCAGCUGAAA